AUUGAACGCUGGCGGCAGGCCUAACACAUGCAAGUCGAGCGGAUGAAGGGAGCUUGCUCCUGGAUUCAGCGGCGGACGGGUGAGUAAUGCCUAGGAAUCUGCCUGGUAUUGGGGGAUAACGUCCGGAAACGGGCGCUAAUACCGCAUACGUCCUGAGGGAGAAAGUGGGGGAUCUUCGGACCUCACGCUAUCAGAUGAGCCUAGGUCGGAUUAGCUAGUUGGUGGGGUAAAGGCCUACCAAGGCGACGAUCCGUAACUGGUCUGAGAGGAUGAUCAGUCACACUGGAACUGAGACACGGUCCAGACUCCUACGGGAGGCAGCAGUGGGGAAUAUUGGACAAUGGGCGAAAGCCUGAUCCAGCCAUGCCGCGUGUGUGAAGAAGGUCUUCGGAUUGUAAAGAACUUUAAGUUGGGAGGAAGGGCAGUAAGUUAAUACCUUGCUGUUUUGACGUUACCAACAGAAUAAGCACCGGCUAACUUCGUG
Molecule: ribosomal RNA, 484 nt
Filed under: uncultured bacterium
Lineage: Bacteria
Description: partial 16S ribosomal RNA
Rfam family: Bacterial small subunit ribosomal RNA
Source: RNAcentral